Molecule: long non-coding RNA, 341 nt
Filed under: Gossypium barbadense (sea-island cotton)
Lineage: Eukaryota; Viridiplantae; Streptophyta; Magnoliopsida; Malvales; Malvaceae
Description: long non-coding RNA (GBAR_LNC020003)
Source: RNAcentral
UUUUCUGCAAAACCCUGUUUUUAAUCCUAACACUCUAUUUCCAAGGUUAAGUUUUCAAGCUGUGUUUUAAAUAUAUGUUUUAUGAGAGCUCCUAAGUGAGCCUAUGUUUUUAAGAAAUGUUUUUAACGUAUUUUAUAAACUAUGUUUUCACAAGCUUUUGUGCUAACUCUUUACAAGAGUUUCCCAACAAGCUCCCUAUGCAAGCUCUAUGUAAUAAAAUUCUGUACAAGCUCCCUUGUGAGCCUAACUCUCUAUGAGAGCUUUUUGUGAUAUGUCUCUGUGUAUGCUCCUUUACGAACCAUGUUGGAUAUUUUGGUAUACCAAAGGAUUGUGAGUACUCA